GUGCCAGCAGCCGCGGUAAUUCCAGCUCCAAUAGCGUAUAUUAAAGUUGUUGCGGUUAAAAAGCUCGUAGUUGGAUCUCGGCAAGUAGAGGGCGGUAUGCUUCGUAGCAUUACUGCCCUAUUACUUGUAGUUUUGCCAGAGGUUCCUGGGUGCUCUUAAUCGAGUGUCUAGGGAUGCUGGCAGGUUUACUUUGAAAAAAUUAGAGUGCUCAAAGCAGGCUAUUACGCUUGAAUAUUCGUGCAUGGAAUAAUAGAAUAGGAAGUUGUUUCUAUUUUGUUGGUUUUCGGAAAUCGACUUAAUGAUUAAUAGGGACAGUCGGGGGCAUUUGUAUUCAAACGACAGAGGUGAAAUUCUUGGACCGUUUGAAGACAAACUACUGCGAAAGCAUUUGCCAAGAAUGUUUUCAUUAAUCAAGAACGAAAGUUAGAGGUUCGAAGGCGAUUAGAUACCGCCCUAGUUCUAACCAUAAACGAUGCCAGCUAGCGAUCUGAGGACGUUUUUUUUGUAGACUCCUCAGGAAGCUUCCGGGAAACCAAAGCGUGUGGGUUCCGGGGGAAGUAUGGUUGCAAAGCUGAAACUUAAAGGAAUUGACGGAAGGGCACCACCAGGAGUGGAGCCUGCGGCUUAAUUUGACUCAACACGGGAAAUCUCACCAGGCCCGGACACUGGAAGGAUUGACAGAUUGAGAGCUCUUUCUCGAUUCGGUGGGUGGUGGUGCAUGGCCGUUCUUAGUUGGUGGAGUGAUUUGUCUGGUUAAUUCCGAUAACGAACGAGACUCUGUCCUGCUAAAUAGUGUCAGCCUCUCUUCUGGGCUGACAAUUCUUCUUAGAGGGACUGGCGGCUCCUAGCCGCACGAGAUAGAGCAAUAACAGGUCUGUGAUGCCCAA
This 887-nucleotide ribosomal RNA is filed under the name uncultured eukaryote. Its description in RNAcentral is "SSU rRNA". It matches the Rfam family "Eukaryotic small subunit ribosomal RNA", at positions 564 to 1474 of the family's 1831-position model. The record is from RNAcentral.